This 796-nucleotide long non-coding RNA is filed under the name Ananas comosus (pineapple). RNAcentral's name for it is "long non-coding RNA (ACOM_LNC007184)". The record is from RNAcentral. Lineage: Eukaryota; Viridiplantae; Streptophyta; Magnoliopsida; Poales; Bromeliaceae.
AAUUUUAAAAAUCUCUUCAAUUGGUGGGUAAGACAUUUAAAAAAUGAGGAAUGCUUCAAUACACCAUAAAUAUUAAAAUUUAACUCUUAUUUAGUAAAGGGUAUUGUUGGCUUUUAAAUGAAGUAACCUGUUGAAUAGGUUAUCGAUUUAAAUUAGUUAAUAUACCAAUAUUGGAAAAAAGAAUUAGUAGUAUAUAUCAAAUUUGUCAGCAUCCUAUAAAUAUUAAAUAUUUUAUUUAUUUUUUUGUUACUUACCAAAUUAGAUAAUAUCCAAUUUGUUGAGUAUUCAGCUAAAAAAAAUAAUUUAAAUUUAAUUUUUGAAGUUGGUAUUGUAAUGUAAAAUUUUAAUUUUGAAAUUUAUAAUAAACUUUUAAAUUUGAAUCUAAAUUGAGCAUUUAAUCUUAAAUCAAAAUUUUAAUUUUUGAUUUAAAUUAAAAUUUUGAAUUGGAACUGAAAGUUUUAUUUUAAAUUUGUAUUUUAUAUUUAAAAAAAUUGAAUUUGAUUUAUAAUUAAGUUUUAAAUAUUGUUUUAAAUUUAAACUUACAGUUUGAUUAUAAUUUGAAAUGUUGUAGGAAUUUAAAAAGGUCACAGUAUUCUUAGUUGGAUAAAACUGAUUCUGUAGACCAAAAUAUUUUGCAAAGACCAAAAUACUCUUUAAAUAGGUACCUGGUGAAUGGUAUCUACGCCUCAAUAGUAGGUCACCUCUAGAGUCAUAUUAAAUCUAAACCAACUAUUAAUAAAAAUAAAUGAUCAAGAUUUAUAUGGUGCAUUGAAGUAUUACUUUUAAAAAAUAAAGU